Molecule: non-coding RNA, 1209 nt
Organism: Trichomycterus rosablanca
Lineage: Eukaryota; Metazoa; Chordata; Actinopteri; Siluriformes; Trichomycteridae
Source: the annotation of a RefSeq genome assembly
GCAAAUAUGAUCUACAGGACUGGAUCUCUCACUAUUUAGGUGAAGAGUCUCAGUUAAGGAUCUCUGGAGAUCAGACACCAGCAGAUCCUCCUCCACCAUGUUCUCUCCAUCAUCUCUACUGCUCCUGCUGGCAGCUGCUUCCUGUGGACGCUGUUAUGAACUGAAUCAGCCUGGAUCCAUGACGGUCCCACCAGGCCAGGUUCUCUCCGUCAACUGUAAGCCUUCAUAUUCAGUUACGAGUUAUUAUACAGCUUGGAUUCGACAGGCUGCAGGAGAAGCUCUGGAGUGGAUUGGAUACAUCAGCAGUGGUGGUAGCUUAUAUUACAAUGAUAAACUGAAAAAUAAGUUCAGCAUCUCCAGAGACACGAGCAGCAACACCAUAACAUUACGAGGCCAGAAUGUACAAGCUGAAGAUUCAGCUGUGUAUUACUGUGCGAGAUUCACAGUGAUGCUGAGUAGUGGAGUCACCUCACAAAAACCAUCUCAAGCUCUCAGUGUGAACCAGACACUGUUUCAGAUGUUAAUGUGUCAUUUAACAAAACAGGGCACCUCUACAACCCUCACCAUCAGUGGUAUUUUGUUGACUGGAAUACAUGAUGUAGAAAGAAGUUGUAAACAAUUCCCAUUCUUUUCAUUUGACUGUAAAGGGUCGAUGUGUUUAUUUAAAAUAUGAAAAUAACAACAGUCUGUGAUUAUUUUAGAUAAAGCUGGAUGUGUUGUCUACUAUUAGGACCUGGAUGAAUGGUAACUCAAUGGUAAAGUUACUGGACUAGUAAACAGAAGGUUGCUGGUUUGAGCCCCACAUCUGCCAGGUUGCUAAUGCUGGACCCUUGAGCAAGGCCCUUAACCCUCUAUUACUUGGACUAUAUACGGUUUUAAUAAAUAAUAAUACAGGCCAUUUCAAACUGUUCAAGCACACAAUAUCAAUUUUAACUCCAAUAUGAAAGUAAAACAGCAGAGCUCCACUUUCUGUCAGCUGUGGUUCCACCGUGUAUUUCUAUUCAUCUACACAAUCAUCAUUUCAUCUUCUGUGAAAUGAAUCCAAAGCUUCUCUGCAGCUUGUUUAAUGUGCUGUUGUUUCAAACUCGUUCAUUUUUAUAGCUUACCACAUCUUCAUCCUGGUCAGGGUCACUGUGGAUCCUGUUUCCACGGGAUCACGAGGCUCUCUGUGCAGGAACACGGACAGGGACGCCAAUAAUCCAUCGAGGG